ACGCUACAUUUAGUAGCACAUAUACUAAAACUGGAACAAUACAGAGAAGAUUAACAUGGCCUCUGUGCAAGGAUGACACACAAAUUCAUGAAGCAUUCCACAUUUUU
Molecule: small nuclear RNA, 107 nt
Filed under: Vulpes vulpes (red fox)
Lineage: Eukaryota; Metazoa; Chordata; Mammalia; Carnivora; Canidae
Source: RNAcentral